AGAGUUUGAUCAUGGCUCAGAUUGAACGCUGGCGGCAUGCCUUACACAUGCAAGUCGAACGGUAACAGGUCUUCGGAUGCUGACGAGUGGCGAACGGGUGAGUAAUACAUCGGAACGUGCCCGAUCGUGGGGGAUAGCUCGGCGAAAGCCGGAUUAAUACCGCAUACGAUCUACGGAUGAAAGCAGGGGACCGCAAGGCCUUGCGCGAACGGAGCGGCCGAUGGCAGAUUAGGUAGUUGGUGGGGUAAAGGCUCACCAAGCCGACGAUCUGUAGCUGGUCUGAGAGGACGACCAGCCACACUGGGACUGAGACACGGCCCAGACUCCUACGGGAGGCAGCAGUGGGGAAUUUUGGACAAUGGGCGCAAGCCUGAUCCAGCAAUGCCGCGUGCAGGAUGAAGGCCUUCGGGUUGUAAACUGCUUUUGUACGGAACGAAAAGGCUCUGGUUAAUACCUGGGGCUCAUGACGGUACCGUAAGAAUAAGCACCGGCUAACUACGUGCCAGCCGCCGCGGUAAUAC
Molecule: ribosomal RNA, 521 nt
Filed under: uncultured bacterium
Lineage: Bacteria
Description: bacterial SSU rRNA
Rfam family: Bacterial small subunit ribosomal RNA
Source: RNAcentral